AUAAGGGCAAAACUCCGUCUCCAAAAAAUAAAUAAAUAAAAUAAAGUGCCUAUUAACGGAUCUGGAUCUGUUGAUGUUUGGCAGGUGCCCCUAGUCUGCUCUGCCGGUAUCUUCACCCAGAAACCAGUGAGCUGAUGUUUUCUUUCCUUCUCUUCCUCUCACUGGGCCCAGGACUUCAUACAUAUUAGCAGUUUAAUCCAUCAGGGAGAGAGACCACCCCUCCUAGAGCACAUGCCCCACGCCACAGGAAGGCGAACAUCCAGUGAGGGUUGGACUCCUAACCCUGAGCACUCUCCUGUGAUUAGAUAGCAGAUAGAGGCUGACGCCGCACCAUGGCGGACGAGGAGCUUGAGGCGCUGAGGAGACAGAGGCUGGCCGAGCUGCAGGCCAAGCAUGGGGAUCCUGGCGAUGCGGCCCAACAGGAAGCAAAGCACAGGGAAGCAGAAAUGAGAAACAGUAUCUUAGCCCAAGUUCUGGAUCAGUCGGCCCGGGCCAGGUUAAGUAACUUAGCACUUGUAAAGCCUGAAAAAACUAAAGCAGUGGAGAAUUACCUCAUACAGAUGGCAAGAUACGGACAACUGAGUGACAAGGUCUCAGAACAAGGUUUAAUAGAAAUCCUUAAAAAAAGUAAGCCAACAAACAGAAAAGACAACAAUGAAAUUCAACAGGAGAAAAGUAAUGGACUCCGAUGAAGAUGAUGAUUAUUGAACUACAAGUGUUUACAGACUAGAACUUAACGGAACAAUUCUAGGACAGAAGUUAAGAUGUGAUUAAAUAUUUACUUUGUUUAUUGUCUAUAUGCCUUUUAAAAAAAUAAACUUGU
Molecule: RNA transcript, 823 nt
Organism: Rhinopithecus roxellana (golden snub-nosed monkey)
Lineage: Eukaryota; Metazoa; Chordata; Mammalia; Primates; Cercopithecidae
Gene name: programmed cell death protein 5 pseudogene
Exons: 1
Source: RefSeq, a predicted model, not a curated record